Molecule: ribosomal RNA, 624 nt
Filed under: uncultured archaeon
Lineage: Archaea
Description: bacterial SSU rRNA
Rfam family: Archaeal small subunit ribosomal RNA
Source: RNAcentral
CCGGUUGAUCCCGCCAGAGGCUACUGCCAUCAGAGUUCGAUUAAGCCAUGUUAGUCGAGGGUGCUUCUUCUUCGGAAGAAGUAACCCGGCGGACGGCUCAGUAACACGUGGAUAACUUGCCCUUGGGUCCGGGAUAACCCCUGAGAAAUUGGGGACAAUACCGGAUAGGGCAUCGAUAGCUGGAAUGCACGAUGUCCAAAAGCUGAGGCGCCCAAGGAUAGGUCUGCGGCUGAUUAGGUUGUUGUUGAUGUAAUGGAUCAACAAGCCUGCAAUCGGUACGGGUUGUGAGAGCAAGAGCCCGGAGAUGGGUUCUGAGAAAAGAACCCAGGUCCUACGGGACGCAUCAGGCGCGAAAACUUUACAAUGUGCGAAAGCACGAUAAGGGAACUCUGAGUGCCUCCUAUGGAGGCUGUUCAGGUGUCUAAAAAGCACUUGAAGUAAGGGCUGGGUAAGACCGGUGCCAGCCGCCGCGGUAACACCGGCAGCCCAAGUGGUAGCCACGAUUAUUGGGUCUAAAGCGUCCGUAGCCGGCCAGGUAAGUUCUUUGGGAAAUUUAACCGCUCAACGGUUAAGCUUUCAGGGAAUACUGCUUGGCUUGGGACCGGGAGAGGUCAGAGGUACUUC